CCGCGUGAGGGAUGACGGCCUUCGGGUUGUAAACCUCUUUUAGCAGGGAAGAAGCGCAAGUGACGGUACCUGCAGAAUAAGCGCCGGCUAACUACGUGCCAGCAGCCGCGGUAAUACGUAGGGCGCAAGCGUUGUCCGGAAUUAUUGGGCGUAAAGAGCUCGUAGGCGGUCUGUCGCGUCUGGUGUGAAAUCCCGAGGCUCAACCUCGGGCUUGCGUCGGGUACGGGCAGACUAGAGUGCGGUAGGGGAGACUGGAAUUCCUGGUGUAGCGGUGGAAUGCGCAGAUAUCAGGAGGAACACCGAUGGCGAAGGCAGAUCUCUGGGCCGCAACUGACGCUGAGGAGCGAAAGCAUGGGGAGCGAACAGGAUUAGAUACCCUGGUAGUCCAUGCCGUAAACGUUGGGCACUAGGUGUGGGGCUCAUUCCACGAGUUCCGUGCCGCAGCUGACGCAUUAAGUGCCCCGCCUGGGGAGUACGGCCGCAAGGCUAAAACUCAAAGGAAUUGACGGGGGCCCGCACAAGCGGCGGAGCAUGCGGAUUAAUUCAAUGUAACGCGAAGAACCUUACCAAGGCUUGACAUGCACCGGAAACACUCAGAGAUGGGUGUCCCGCAAGGUCG
This 619-nucleotide ribosomal RNA is filed under the name Isoptericola sp. So2Pw_996. RNAcentral's name for it is "bacterial SSU rRNA". It matches the Rfam family "Bacterial small subunit ribosomal RNA", at positions 397 to 1029 of the family's 1533-position model. The record is from RNAcentral. Lineage: Bacteria; Bacillati; Actinomycetota; Actinomycetes; Micrococcales; Promicromonosporaceae.